RNAcentral lists this ribosomal RNA (468 nucleotides) under uncultured bacterium. RNAcentral's name for it is "partial 16S ribosomal RNA". It matches the Rfam family "Bacterial small subunit ribosomal RNA", at positions 28 to 507 of the family's 1533-position model. The record is from RNAcentral.
GACGAACGCUGGCGGCGUGCUUAACACAUGCAAGUCGAACGGAAAGGCCCUGCUUUUGUGGGGUGCUCGAGUGGCGAACGGGUGAGUAACACGUGAGUAACCUGCCCUUGACUUUGGGAUAACUUCAGGAAACUGGGGCUAAUACCGGAUAGGAGCUCCUGCUGCAUGGUGGGGGUUGGAAAGUUUCGGCGGUUGGGGAUGGACUCGCGGCUUAUCAGCUUGUUGGUGGGGUAGUGGCUUACCAAGGCUUUGACGGGUAGCCGGCCUGAGAGGGUGAGCGGCCACAUGGGGACUGAGAUACGGCCCAGAGUCCUGCGGGAGGCAGCAGUGGGGAAUAUUGCGCAAUGGGCGGAAGCCUGAUGCAGGAACGCCGCGUGCGGGAUGACGGCCUUCGGGUUGUAAACCGCUUUCGCCUGUGGCGAAGCGUGAGUGACGGUAAUGGGUAAAGAAGCACCGGCUAACUACGUG